Molecule: ribosomal RNA, 691 nt
Filed under: uncultured bacterium
Lineage: Bacteria
Description: bacterial SSU rRNA
Rfam family: Bacterial small subunit ribosomal RNA
Source: RNAcentral
GCGUGCCUAAUACAUGCAAGUCGAGCGGACUUAAAAAGCUUGCUUUUUAAGUUAGCGGCGGACGGGUGAGUAACACGUGGGCAACCUGCCUGUAAGACUGGGAUAACUUCGGGAAACCGGAGCUAAUACCGGAUAAUCCUUUUCUACUCAUGUAGGAAAGCUGAAAGACGGUUUACGCUGUCACUUACAGAUGGGCCCGCGGCGCAUUAGCUAGUUGGUGAGGUAACGGCUCACCAAGGCGACGAUGCGUAGCCGACCUGAGAGGGUGAUCGGCCACACUGGGACUGAGACACGGCCCAGACUCCUACGGGAGGCAGCAGUAGGGAAUCUUCCGCAAUGGACGAAAGUCUGACGGAGCAACGCCGCGUGAGUGAUGAAGGUUUUCGGAUCGUAAAACUCUGUUGUUAGGGAAGAACAAGUACGAGAGUAACUGCUCGUACCUUGACGGUACCUAACCAGAAAGCCACGGCUAACUACGUGCCAGCAGCCGCGGUAAUACGUAGGUGGCAAGCGUUGUCCGGAAUUAUUGGGCGUAAAGCGCGCGCAGGCGGUCCUUUAAGUCUGAUGUGAAAGCCCACGGCUCAACCGUGGAGGGUCAUUGGAAACUGGGGGACUUGAGUGCAGAAGAGAAGAGUGGAAUUCCACGUGUAGCGGUGAAAUGCGUAGAGAUGUGGAGGAACACCAGUGGCGA